AUAGAUGAAGAAUAAACGACGAGA
RNAcentral lists this microRNA (24 nucleotides) under Zea mays. RNAcentral's name for it is "microRNA miR-3231". Lineage: Eukaryota; Viridiplantae; Streptophyta; Magnoliopsida; Poales; Poaceae. The record is from RNAcentral.